GGAGGACGCCCCCCGCCGCGCCCGCGGGCCGCCGGACUCGCGCCUCAGAAAACCACAGGUCCUGGCUGAACAAGUUCAAGAAUUAUUUGGAGGAUCACAUCAAGAACUCCGUGCCUCCAGCAGCCGUUUUUGCUUUUCUGGUCAUCUCAGUCAUCAUGGGGAUCCUCUGUUGCCUCACGUAAGCUGCUGUGGGGUGAAGAGAGCGAAAGGGGCGUGGGGGAGAGGCAGGAACGGUCAGGUUCCCCACCAGCCUGCACAUUUAUAAUUCAGGGAAAGUUUUCAGGAAGGUAAUUCUUGGUUUAUCCAACCCACUCCAUCCAUUACCAGCGACUUACAGGUGACAUUGAAUACCCAGUGUUUAUAGCUGAUCUCUUUUUUCUAACUUCAUUAACUCCGUCUUUCCCUUUGGUUUAGGAAUUAUGCAUGGACAAUAUCUAAUUAACUAUGUGUUCAAUUGCCUGAAACUUUGCCACAGUAUUUACCUAUGUAAAUCAUAUGAAG
Molecule: long non-coding RNA, 501 nt
Organism: Suricata suricatta (meerkat)
Lineage: Eukaryota; Metazoa; Chordata; Mammalia; Carnivora; Herpestidae
Source: Ensembl